GACGAACGCUGGCGGCGUGCCUAAUACAUGCAAGUCGAGCGGAACUUAGAAAGCUUGCUUUCUAAGUUUAGCGGCGGACGGGUGAGUAACACGUGGGCAACCUGCCUAUAAGACUGGGAUAACUUCGGGAAACCGGAGCUAAUACCGGAUAAUAUAAAAGAUCACAUGGUCUUUUAUUGAAAGAUGGCUUCGGCUAUCACUUAUAGAUGGGCCCGCGGCGCAUUAGCUAGUUGGUGAGGUAAUGGCUCACCAAGGCGACGAUGCGUAGCCGACUUGAGAGGGUGAUCGGCCACACUGGGACUGAGACACGGCCCAGACUCCUACGGGAGGCAGCAGUAGGGAAUCUUCCGCAAUGGACGAAAGUCUGACGGAGCAACGCCGCGUGAACGAUGAAGGCCUUCGGGUCGUAAAGUUCUGUUGUUAGGGAAGAACAAGUACCGUUCAAAUAGGGCGGUACCUUGACGGUACCUAACCAGAAAGCCACGGCUAACUACGUG
This 497-nucleotide ribosomal RNA is filed under the name uncultured bacterium. RNAcentral describes it as "bacterial SSU rRNA". It matches the Rfam family "Bacterial small subunit ribosomal RNA", at positions 28 to 507 of the family's 1533-position model. The record is from RNAcentral.